AUUCGCCUACGGGGCGCAGCAGUAGGGAAUCUUCCACAAUGGACGAAAGUCUGAUGGAGCAACGUCGCGUGAGUGAAGAAGGGUUUCGGCUCGUAAAGCUCUGUUUGUAGUGAAGAAAGAUAGAGGUAGUAACUGGCCUUUAUUUUACGGUAAUUACUUAGAAAGUCACGGCUAACUACGUGCCAGCAGCCGCGGUAAUACGUAGGUGGCAAGCGUUGUCCGGAUUUAUUGGG
This 233-nucleotide ribosomal RNA is filed under the name uncultured bacterium. Its description in RNAcentral is "partial 16S ribosomal RNA". It matches the Rfam family "Bacterial small subunit ribosomal RNA", at positions 333 to 558 of the family's 1533-position model. The record is from RNAcentral.